AAGCGUUUAUGACCAGACUUGGGCUUGGUUAAUCAUCUGGGGUUCUCUCCAGUGCACUUUUCCAGUCCAGGCCAGCAUCAGUUUUCGCCGGGGGAUAAAGGCUUCGGGAAUGUGGCUCCCCUCGGGGAGUGUUAUAGCCC
This 140-nucleotide ribosomal RNA is filed under the name Fusarium graminearum. RNAcentral describes it as "partial large subunit ribosomal RNA". The record is from RNAcentral. Lineage: Eukaryota; Fungi; Ascomycota; Sordariomycetes; Hypocreales; Nectriaceae.